RNAcentral lists this ribosomal RNA (254 nucleotides) under uncultured bacterium. RNAcentral describes it as "partial 16S ribosomal RNA". It matches the Rfam family "Bacterial small subunit ribosomal RNA", at positions 524 to 776 of the family's 1533-position model. The record is from RNAcentral.
UACGUAGGGGGCAAGCGUUGUCCGGAUUUAUUGGGCGUAAAGAGCUCGUAGGUGGUUCGGUAAGUCGGAUGUGAAAUCUCCAGGCUCAACCUGGAGGGGUCAUUCGAUACUGCCGUGACUAGAGGUCGGUAGGGGAGUGUGGAAUUCCUGGUGGAGCGGUGAAAUGCGCAGAUAUCAGGAGGAACACCGAUGGCGAAGGCAGGUCACUGGGCCGCAACUGACGCUGAGGAGCGAAAGCAUGGGGAGCGAACAGG